GAGAGAGAGAGAGAGAGAGAUACAUUUAUUCAAUCAUGUAACCAAUACAGUUGUUGAUCUUGUCAAACACAAUUCAUUUACAAAGGUAAAUUAUUCCAUAUUGACAACAAACUAUAUGUAACAUUUCUCUGCAAGUAUGAGAAGUUUGGCUUAUCCUCAAUUAAACAAUUUUUCCCUCUGGUGUUAUAGGGAUGUUCUAUAUUUUUGAAUUCAGAACGAUUAUUAAUGACAAACAUUACACACUCAUAUAUAUACAAACUGUAAAGGGUUAAUAUACUAAAGUUUUUAAAUAUAGUUUUACAGGUU
Molecule: long non-coding RNA, 306 nt
Organism: Coccinella septempunctata (seven-spotted ladybird)
Lineage: Eukaryota; Metazoa; Arthropoda; Insecta; Coleoptera; Coccinellidae
Exons: 2
Source: RefSeq, a predicted model, not a curated record